Molecule: long non-coding RNA, 2059 nt
Filed under: Androctonus crassicauda
Lineage: Eukaryota; Metazoa; Arthropoda; Arachnida; Scorpiones; Buthidae
Source: RNAcentral
UGAACUCAUAGGAUAGUUAUAGUGGUAAAGUACUAAAUUACCAUCAUUUUCCCACAAGUUAAAAAAAAAAAAAAAAAUUCUAUUGCAGUGUACAGUACUAACCUAUAGGAUGUAGUCUUCCUAUUGCUAUACAAAAAUGCUUUUCAGUGUGAGUAUAAAGUGAAGUUUUCACAUGUUCCAGUUGGCCUAAAUAACAGUCUUUGAAUAUUUAACACACUUUUUUUUUAACAAAUAAUUUUCUCGGAAUUUGACUAAUUCGGAAUCGUUUAUUUUUUGCUAUUCAGAAAAUGUUUAUCGAUUUUAACUGAAAGAAUAAUCCGAGUGUACGAUAUUCGUGAUAAAAAAAAAGAAGGAAAAAAAAGAUUUCGAGGCGUGGUUGCAUAGGUUAUUGAACUUUUAAACUAUAUAGCUAUAUAGUAUAUUAAGGUAUAAUGUUAAUAUAUAUGAUUUUUCAUAUUCUGACAGCGAUCCAUUUUUAUCGGAAGUUAGUUGAAUUAGUUCGCCUUUAAUGAUAAAACCAGAUGCGAACGAGCGAGUUAAAUAUAGAAUACUGUAUAUUAAAAAACAUUAAAGUUAAUAAUAACUUCCUUAUUUAAACAGAAUUCCUUGCAUUUUUAUCGAUUUAAACGAUAUUAAAUUAUUUAACUACAGUAUAUGCUUAUACUCGUCUAACUAUAUAUAUAAAAAUUUAGCGUAAGUUGCAAAAAAUUUUUGUACUUGAACCUAAAAUGGGUAACGAUCGAAUUGGCUUGCCCGCGGAGAACGCAUUGCGUCGCGAACUACGUUUAUAUGCAACGCGACGCGCCCAACUCCGAUAGCUAUGUAUGUAGUUUGCGACGCAACGCGUUCUCCGCGAGCAGGUCAAUUCGAUUGCUGCCCUUAAAUGUUUUUCACACGGUCGGAAUAGAUUCGUGUAUUUCGAAUGAUUAUAAAUAUUAUGUAUUUGCGUUUUAUCUUAGAUGCAUAAUUUCAGAACCUGUAGCUGGAAACAUUCCAGAAAUUUGAAUUGCAAUAAAGUCAUUUGAUCGUGUUUUAGUAUGCAAAUAAAAUUCAUCGGCCCUCGCAUACGAGGUAACGUGAGCGGGUCAGCGUCAAUUGAAACGUCGACUGUUGCGUAAUUGCCGCAAUGAUACCAUAGUCUUAUUUAUUCACUGACGUCACUUUCUCUUCCUGUUUUUUUAGCAGUGACGUCAUUCACCUUCAAGAUGGUUUCUUAACUUGAAUUUAGUAUUGUGCAAUCUUCUUUGAUUUCUAUUGUGAUAAAAAUCGGUUGAUUAAGUCAUCAGCUUACAUAAACAAAAGUUUUGUUAAUAUAACCUAUUACAAAUUAAUUAUGUAAUAUUGGAGACUGUCAACAAUAGUUCGACAAUGUCUUAACCCAUUAACAUCACGGUUUGGUUAAGUAACUGGGCUAAAUAAUAUCUUUCAUAAUGGCAUCCGUUAAGUCAUUUUGCGAAUUAAAUAACCUUCCCACACAGUCAAAAUUUGUCAAGUGCGGUAUUUUGUAUACGGUAUAUAUUUCGUUACGCUCACCCCUUAUGGAGCAAAAUUUCGAAAUUCUAAAAAUCCUGACAACGCCUUUAGUGUCCGGAUGAACAUUGGGCUACGUAACAUAUAUAUUUUUUUUCUAUUUUAGGAAAUGUUUUAUCUUUACGUCAUAGCGUGGGCCUUAAUGGGGCGAUUGCUAUCUGUUACGAAUAAAUUAAGAAAUAUCCGAAUGCAUAUAUUGGCCAAUCGACCGGCAAAGAUUAACUAGAUAUAUUAUCCUAAUUCCUAAAUAGGUUUAUAAUUUAAUUAUAAUUAAUUUCGACAGACCUCGAUGAAAAAGCUCUUUGUUUUUAUUCCAUGUUUUAGAUUGUUUAAUAAUUAAAAAAAAUUUACGUAACUUAUUCUAGUUAUCAAACAAAAAUAUUUAUUAGAAUGACAUCAAUCUAUAUAUAUAUAUAUAUAUAGAACACAGUAUAUUGAAAUUCCUAUAUUUAGAUUUAUAUAUGGACUCUAAGUGAAACAAGAAUGUUCGCAUUUUAAUUUAUUCCUUCGUUAUUACUCAGUAAUUAAC